UACGUAGGGUGCGAGCGUUAAUCGGAAUUACUGGGCGUAAAGCGUGCGCAGGCGGUUUUGUAAGCCAGAUGUGAAAGCCCCGGGCUCAACCUGGGAAUGGCAUUUGGGACUGCAAGGCUGGAGUUUGGCAGAGGAGACUGGAAUUCCUGGUGUAGCAGUGAAAUGCGUAGAUAUCAGGAGGAAUACCGAUGGCGAAGGCGGCAUCCUGGACCGACAUUGACGCUGAACGGCGAAAGCUAGGGGAGCAAACGGG
This 253-nucleotide ribosomal RNA is filed under the name uncultured bacterium. RNAcentral describes it as "partial 16S ribosomal RNA". It matches the Rfam family "Bacterial small subunit ribosomal RNA", at positions 524 to 776 of the family's 1533-position model. The record is from RNAcentral.